CAAAAAGUAAAAAGAAGGACAAGGAAAACCAAGGCACAAAGAAAGGACCUAGGCGCACCCCAGAACUCACCACGGACACACAGCAGAGGGCUUCUCUUCAUAUCAAGGGUAUGGGUAAGCAAGAAAGGCUGCUGUUUCAUUGAGAUAGGACAAACCACCAAGCCCAAAUGAGAAGACAAACAGACGUGGUGUCAGACCAGGAGGGUUAGAACUUGCUAGUGUAGAGGGCAAUAAUCCACUUGGGCACACGGAGGAAGGAGGGCAAGUAGGAGGCCAGCCAGCCCAGGCCGGACACGUGUGAGAGAACAGAGCUCAAAGACAAAUAGUCUUGGACAGGGCGGCCUGGGAACAACAGGAGGAGGAGGAUUAGAUUCUCAUUUCCCACUCCUCAGAUACCCUCACCUUGGCUGGAGAGACCGAGGGAGGAGUGGGCAGGGAACAGAGGGAACAGCAGUCAAGGCUGGCUGCUGCGCCAGGGUCCUCACCGUCCACAUCCCGAAGGCCAUAGCGUCGAGCAAGGUCACAGGAUGGCAGCACCUUACCACUCAGGCUCAGGAUAUUGGGAUCUGCGGGCACACAGACAGGUGGAGAUGGCAGGCAGGGGAGUAUGCAGAGUGACAAGGUUUGGGCCCAGUUGGACAGGGCACUGCUGAGAGCCCUGGAGCUCAGGAUCCCUGGAGAACUCUUUCUUUCUGUUCCUAGGAAGGCUCUUGGGCCUUGGACUUUUUCCACACUUCCCAGGAGCCUGCUCCUAAGGCUCUCAGACCUCAAACUGGGAAUGCUGACCCCUUGGGCCUCAAAAAGCAGAGAAAAGAAUGACAUGUUCCUCAACCAACUCCCGAGCCAGAUCUGGGCACUGGAUGCUACCGCACUACACAUCCUCCAUGCCCUUUCUUAUUACCAGCUGCCCCCAAACUUCACCUGUUGCCAAAGCCACCACACAUUUGCCACUCAAUUCUGUGGUUUCCGCAGAUGAGAAGGCUGAUUUGAACUGAAACACAGGGGCAGAGAAGUGAAGGGUUAAUUUCCAAGAGCACUGCCCAAGUCUCCUCCCCAUUUCAACUUCUGUUCCAGGAGAAAAAGACCAAAGACCAAAGAGGCCAAAGACCUCAAGCAGGGCCUGUAGGACCCAAAGUACUGGCAGGUGCCAGAGCCACUCCUCCCCACAUCCAGGUGAGCCCUGUGCCCUGGCACCAGGAUCUGCUGUCUUUGCUAAGUGGAAGGAUCUGGUAGUGCCAAAUAGUGUUUGGACCUUCUAAGCUAGCUGGUGUGGGGGUCAAGUGCAUGGUCUUUGGAGCUAGACAGCCUUUCCACUUAGGACAUAUGUGACCUUCAACAAGUUUCUAAACCUCUCUGGGUUUCAGUUUUGCCAUCUGUAGAAUGGAGCUGGUAUCUCCCUUACAGGAUUAAAGGAAAUAAUGUGUGUCCCAUGCUCAGCCCUGCACCUGCCACAGUAAGCACCUGGUGAGUGGGAGUAUCUGAUCUUGUUAUUGUCUUGUUAUUGAGGAUGCAGAGGCCGACUCCCCUGUUCUCUGCUUCCUUCGCCCUCCCCUUGCCAACCUGCUUCAACACAGAAUCCUGCAGGACCUCCUCCUUUGCCAUAUGCUCCUUCAGCAGUUCUGUCUGCACAAUCCCCGGCCACAGAGACACACAGCUGACCCCAUGGCGCCACAGCUCGUGGGCACAGUCAGCAGCCAGCUUGUCACACUGUGGAGAGGCGGAAGGCAGGGUAAGAGCCACCUAGCCAUGUCACUUUCCUGCCCUGCCCUCUCUGCUUCUACUGUGAAUGCUCCACCCACCCUGUCCUUCCCAGGAGCCCCAAGGUCUCAGCUGCCCACGCUCCACAGUGUGAUGCCUACUCUAGCCAACCGAGAGGAGCACAAGCAAAGGAACUGUCCAUGGAUGAGGCAGAGGAGGAGCUGAGAGGAGCCAGCCUUACCAUUCUGACCACUGGGGAUUGUACCUCCUGAGCUAUAGUGUCUCCCUGUGUCGUCUAGACUGGAGUGCAGUGGUGUGAUCAUGGCUCAACUCCUAGGCUCAAGCGAUCCUCCUGCCUCAGCCUCCGGAGUAGCUGCUGGGACUGCAGGAACGUGCCACCAUGGCUGGCUCAAACACAAAGUUUUUUCAUAAAACUCACUUGGCGGCAAAAUUCUACCUUACCUGAAGUUAUUUACGGGGUUUUUAAUUUCC
This 2190-nucleotide long non-coding RNA is filed under the name Pan troglodytes (chimpanzee). RNAcentral's name for it is "long non-coding RNA NONPTRT004746". The record is from RNAcentral. Lineage: Eukaryota; Metazoa; Chordata; Mammalia; Primates; Hominidae.